CAGUAGCCGCGGGAAUACGAAGGGUGCAAGCGUUACUCGGAAUUACUGGGCGUAAAGCGUGCGUAGGUGGUGGUUUAAGUCCGUUGUGAAAGCCCUGGGCUCAACCUGGGAAUUGCAGUGGAUACUGGGUCACUAGAGUGUGGUAGAGGAUAGUGGAAUUUCCGGUGUAGCAGUGAAAUGCGUAGAGAUCGGGAGGAACAUCUGUGGCGAAGGCGACUAUCUGGGCCAACACUGACACUGAGGCACGAAAGCGUGGGGAGCAAACAGGAUUAGAUACCCGAGUAGUCCCUGUCUCUUAUAC
This 301-nucleotide ribosomal RNA is filed under the name uncultured bacterium. Its description in RNAcentral is "partial 16S ribosomal RNA". It matches the Rfam family "Bacterial small subunit ribosomal RNA", at positions 509 to 807 of the family's 1533-position model. The record is from RNAcentral.